RNAcentral lists this ribosomal RNA (403 nucleotides) under Verrucomicrobiota bacterium. RNAcentral describes it as "Verrucomicrobia bacterium partial 16S ribosomal RNA". It matches the Rfam family "Bacterial small subunit ribosomal RNA", at positions 355 to 776 of the family's 1533-position model. The record is from RNAcentral. Lineage: Bacteria; Pseudomonadati; Verrucomicrobiota.
UGGGGAAUAUUGCACAAUGGGGGAAACCCUGAUGCAGCGACGCCGCGUGAGCGAAGAAGGCUUUCGAGUCGUAAAGCUCUGUCCUAUGAGAAGAUAAUGACGGUAUCAUAGGAGGAAGCCCUGGCUAAAUACGUGCCAGCAGCCGCGGUAAUACGUAUGGGGCGAGCGUUGUCCGGAAUUAUUGGGCGUAAAGGGUACGUAGGCGGUUUUUUAAGUCAGGUGUCAAAGCGUGGAGCUUAACUCCAUUAAGAACGUGAAACUGAAGGGCUUGAGUGAAGGAGAGGAAAGUGGAAGUCCUAGUGUGGGGGUGGGAUGCGUAGGUAUUAGGUGGGAUGCCGGUGGCGGGGGCGACUGUCUGGCGGUGUGCUGGCGGUCAGGUAGGGAAGCGUGGGGAGGGAGCAGG